GAUGAACGCUGGCGGCGUGCUUAACACAUGCAAGUCGAACGGAAAGGCUCCUGCUUGCAGGGGUACUCGAGUGGCGAACGGGUGAGUAACACGUGGGUGAUCUGCCCUGCACUUCGGGAUAAGCCUGGGAAACUGGGUCUAAUACCGGCUAGGACGAGGGUUUGGAUGCCAUUGUGGAAAGUUUUUUCGGUGUGGGAUGGGCGCGCGGCCUAUCAGCUUGUUGGUGGGGUAAUGGCAUACGAAGGCGUCGACGGGUAGCCGGCCUGAGAGGGUGUACGGCGACAUUGGGCCUGAGAUAGGGACCAGAGUCGUACGUGAGGCAGCGGGGGGGAAUAUUGUCCAACGGGGGCGAGCGUGAUGCAGCGACGUCGCGUGGGGGAUGAAGGCUUUCGGGGGGGAAAGUCCAGUCACUAGGGACGAAGCGCAAGUGACGGUACCUGGAGAAGAAGCACCGGCUAACUACGUG
This 466-nucleotide ribosomal RNA is filed under the name uncultured bacterium. Its description in RNAcentral is "partial 16S ribosomal RNA". It matches the Rfam family "Bacterial small subunit ribosomal RNA", at positions 28 to 507 of the family's 1533-position model. The record is from RNAcentral.